UUCUCCUGUGACAUAAUUGCUUGCUGCUGACUUGAACACUUAUCCAGCUCAGCUCCUUCUUUUGAUCCUUAUCCAGCUUCGGCAGAUUCUUGAGUCGACUUAAGAAGCACUGAAGGAUACUCUAUAGUUAAGGAACUCGUAUACUUAAUGUCCUUGCUUGCUUAUUGUUAUUCACUUGUUGACUUGUUUGUUCUCUCAACUCACUGUUUACUGUUGGCUUUGCUCUACCAGCUUACUGAUUGCUAAACAAAUGCCUUUAGCUUGGUAUGAGAGCUAUAAGAUGGUGCACAUAACCCUAUCAAAGAAAUAGUAACCGAACUGCGUCUAAAGAAAGAAGAGAAAAUCCGCACAACAACACUUCUAUAACUAUAAGAAAGUCACCCUAAACCC
RNAcentral lists this long non-coding RNA (390 nucleotides) under Musa acuminata (dwarf banana). RNAcentral's name for it is "long non-coding RNA (MACU_LNC009013)". The record is from RNAcentral. Lineage: Eukaryota; Viridiplantae; Streptophyta; Magnoliopsida; Zingiberales; Musaceae.